This 494-nucleotide ribosomal RNA is filed under the name uncultured bacterium. RNAcentral's name for it is "partial 16S ribosomal RNA". It matches the Rfam family "Bacterial small subunit ribosomal RNA", at positions 29 to 507 of the family's 1533-position model. The record is from RNAcentral.
ACGAACGCUGGCGGCGUGCCUAAUCCAUGCAAGUAGAACGCUGAAGGAGGAGCUUGCUUCUCUGGAUGAGUUGCGAACGGGUGAGUAACGCGUAGGUAACCUGCCUGGUAGCGGGGGAUAACUAUUGGAAACGAUAGCUAAUACCGCAUAAUAGUAGAUGUUGCAUGACAUUUGCUUAAAAGGUGCAAUUGCAUCACUACCAGAUGGACCUGCGUUGUAUUAGCUAGUUGGUGGGGUAACGGCUCACCAAGGCGACGAUACAUAGCCGACCUGAGAGGGUGAUCGGCCACACUGGGACUGAGACACGGCCCAGACUCCUACGGGAGGCAGCAGUAGGGAAUCUUCGGCAAUGGACGGAAGUCUGACCGAGCAACGCCGCGUGAGUGAAGAAGGUUUUCGGAUCGUAAAGCUCUGUUGUAAGAGAAGAACGAGUGUGAGAGUGGAAAGUUCACACUGUGACGGUAUCUUACCAGAAAGGGACGGCUAACUACGUG